Molecule: small nucleolar RNA, 131 nt
Organism: Nannospalax galili (Upper Galilee mountains blind mole rat)
Lineage: Eukaryota; Metazoa; Chordata; Mammalia; Rodentia; Spalacidae
Source: Ensembl
UGUGCCACUGCCCCCAGUUCAGAAUUUCAACUUUUGAGUGUUGGAAGUGUGCUACAUUAAUGGCAGGAUUUUCGCUAGCAGCAGUAGAGUUUCCCUCUGACUGGUAGUUGGUAGUGGUCUCUGCCACACAU